Long non-coding RNA from Hemicordylus capensis (graceful crag lizard), 295 nucleotides. RefSeq lists it as uncharacterized. The transcript is spliced from 3 exons. The record is from RefSeq and is a predicted model, not a curated record. Lineage: Eukaryota; Metazoa; Chordata; Lepidosauria; Squamata; Cordylidae.
GGGUGUUCCAUGGGAGAAGCUGUAGAGGUUAACACUCUCUCAGCCAAGGACCUGCCUACUGAUAGACUAAGAUUCUGAAGACAGCUUUGAAGACAGUUUUCAAAGGGACUAUGAAAACCUAUCUCCACCAGUGCUGAGAUGGCCAAAGCAAGACCCUCAGCCAAAAGUGAAAGUGCAAAUGAAUGAUAUAAAUGGGAAGCCAGACAUUAGCUCACCUACCUUUACUGACAAUAUGGAAUGCUGCUCUCGAAGAAAAGUCACCAUCAUCCUUUGCAUCUUGCUGUGUACUUUCCUG